AAUUCUUGACAGGACUUUUCAAACACAAAAACAAAAAACAAAAUUAUAACUACUCUUAGUUUAAUAUAUAUUGGUAACAAAAAUACAGUUUAAAAACAAUGAAGCAGCCACAGACUUUCAGCCAAAGGCAAAUUGUAGUACACCUGGCGCCAUCUAUGGUUCAACUGUUGACAAUAAAAAGAAGUUUCAAACGAUGAAGCAGUCCCAAACUUUCAGCAAGCAAAUUGGCGCCAUCUAUGGGUUAAUUCUUGACAGGACAAGGUCAGAAUUGACUUGAAUCAGAUGCCGAAAAAGGCAGAAUU
Non-coding RNA from Drosophila melanogaster (fruit fly), 302 nucleotides. NCBI's taxonomy places the organism in Eukaryota, Metazoa, Arthropoda, Insecta, Diptera, Drosophilidae. The record is from Ensembl.